Molecule: long non-coding RNA, 1153 nt
Filed under: Cairina moschata (Muscovy duck)
Lineage: Eukaryota; Metazoa; Chordata; Aves; Anseriformes; Anatidae
Description: domestica (muscovy Duck (domestic type)) lncRNA (ENSCMMG00000011200.1)
Source: RNAcentral
GUAAGUCAGCACCCCGUGCCUGCCUCUCUUCCCUCACAUCCCAGCCCUCCCCACCUCAUUUGGGAGCUAGCUUUCUCCACGAUGCUCUGCUGCACUUACAACCACUCCCCUGCCAGCUUAUAAAUAGUUUAAUUUCUCAGCAGCCUCCUGGACAGACUGCCGAGCAAUUACAAAUGCGUGGGACAAGUCUCAGACCUCAGGAAGGCUUUAACUAUGCCCAGCUGCAACUGUGCAAAACCACAGGUCAGAGAGCCUCGGAGCCACAGCGGAUGGGGAGCCACGAGGCCAUGGCCUCAGGUGUCAGCUGGGUUGCAACAACCUCAUAGUCAGCUUAGCAGGUAAGCUCGCUGCCCUGUCCAGCAAUCUCUGCCAAAAAACAGCUCUCAUACCCAGGAGGGGGAUGGAUGCAACAGCCUGGCACUGGCCAGGGUCCUCUGUGUCUUUAAGUAAAGCCAUGUAAUUUUCCGAUGCAUUUCGUCUUGUGCAUCCUAUUAUGAUUGUCAAGUAUCAGAUAAAGAGGCAGGAGUUUAGGACAUGCAUUUUCAGGCUUUGGCUUAUUUCUUUAUUUAUUUACAGCACAAUAAAAUAAGAAGAAAUAUUCAAAGUGAAGAGACUGUGAAAAGUGAUUUGUUCCAACUCUUCACUGCAGACUUGCAAGAAACCAAUCAGAGGGGCUCAGGAGUGGUUUGACCGUAAUUUAUUAACCCAAAAGGGGCCGCAUUGUUAACCAACAUUAUUUAUAGUGAACAGCUCAGCCAUCUCUACUGAACAACUGUGUGAUACUGCAGGGACAAAUGCAAUGAGUUACUACACAGAUAGGACAAAACCAGCAGCAGAUCUUUGUUACAGCUGUUAGAAAAAGUGUCCCCAGGAGACAGACACUGAAUCUCUAAUGGCUAUCUUAUUUCUCUGACAAUUUAUUUAAGUUUUAACUUAACAGCAGGAAUGAUAGCCACAGUUACACAGUGACUCCCAAUAAAAGAGCGUGUUGCUGAUCUGCAGCUGGUGUUUUCUUAUUUAUUUGAAAGUCUUUAAGUUCCAGACUUAGCAUAUGGUGCCAUAUAAAUAAUGAUAUAAUAAUAUGGUUUUGCUUUCCAUGUGCCGGGAUAGAAAAAAGCUGUGUGAUUUAUGUUACAUGAGCAUUGUAUUUAAG